UUUGCUUCUCUUGGUCUCGAACGCCUUGUUGAAUAGAAGUCUUGAUAAGAGUCUCUUGUCGAGUAGUGUCGCUGGGAUGAUCUGAACUCCGUUUCUCGACUUGGUAGAUUUUGUUUCCGUCGGGCCUUUUCCUCCACUCGGUCCAAAUGAUAAUGCAAUUUAUCAAAUUUUAAUUUUACCAUUCUACGCAUUUCUUGCAUCAAAUAUUGGAAUUCUGAUUCGGAAAAUUCUUCUUGAGACAUGAUUUAAUUGCUCACCACAAAAAUCUGACGUUUCAGUCGCAAAGAAAAUUCACACAACUUGGCUUUUACUUCUCUCAAAUGGUCUCACCAAUCACUCUUACCUUUUUCCACUCG
This 356-nucleotide long non-coding RNA is filed under the name Gossypium barbadense (sea-island cotton). RNAcentral's name for it is "long non-coding RNA (GBAR_LNC016498)". The record is from RNAcentral. Lineage: Eukaryota; Viridiplantae; Streptophyta; Magnoliopsida; Malvales; Malvaceae.